GAGGGAGGUGAUGACACUGCAGAGGACUCUGCUGGGGAGGCUGGCAGCACAGUCUCUGAGAGCCUCUGCAUCAUGCCUGCCUG
Molecule: microRNA precursor, 83 nt
Filed under: Equus caballus (horse)
Lineage: Eukaryota; Metazoa; Chordata; Mammalia; Perissodactyla; Equidae
Description: mir-8941 microRNA precursor family
Rfam family: mir-8941 microRNA precursor family
Source: Rfam by way of RNAcentral